GCGGGAAAGUAGCUUGCGACUUUUGCCGGCGAGCGGCGGAGGGGUGAGUAAUGCCUGGGAAAUUGCCCAGUCAAGGGGGAUAACAUUUGGAAACGCCUGCUACUACCGAAUACGGCCUACGGGGGAAAGCAGGGGACCUUCGGGCCUUGCGCGAAUGGAUAUGCCCAGGUGGGAUUAGCUAGUUGGUGAGGUAAUGGCUCACCAAGGCGAGGAUCCCUAGCUGGUCUGAGAGGAUGAUCAGCAACACUGGAACUGAGACACGGUCCAGAAUCCUACGGGAGGAAGCCGUGGGGAAUAUUGCAGAAUGGGGGAAACAAUGGUGCAGCCGUGCCGACUGUGAGAAGAAGGCCUUCGGGUUGUAAAGCACUUUCCGCGAGGAGGAAAGGUUGGCGCGUAAUACGUGUCAACUGUGACGUUAAUCGCACAAGAAGCACCGGAUAAGUCAGUGCCGCAGAAGAAGCACCGGCGUGCAAGCUUAAUCGGAA
This 485-nucleotide ribosomal RNA is filed under the name Aeromonas hydrophila. RNAcentral's name for it is "bacterial SSU rRNA". It matches the Rfam family "Bacterial small subunit ribosomal RNA", at positions 66 to 550 of the family's 1533-position model. Lineage: Bacteria; Pseudomonadati; Pseudomonadota; Gammaproteobacteria; Aeromonadales; Aeromonadaceae. The record is from RNAcentral.